GUGAUCAAGUCUCAUCAAAGUAUGGCCAAAGAAACAUUUUCAUAAGAAUAAAAGACAACCCAAUCACCUGCAGCAACUUAUACUAUGGAAAACACAUUGAUGAGAACGUUUGUAUCACUAAUUAUUUUUGGAUCUGUCAUAUACAUAUAUAUGUAUGUUUAUUUACGCAAUGAAGCCUGGAUUCAAUUUCGUGGCAACAGGUUAUUGAUAUUAAGAGCGACAACGUCAUCGCAUAUCACUCAACAACAGACAACGAACUCUCUCACGAAUAUGACAGGCGAUGAAAAACUGCAUACUGGCGAUAUUACGGAACAACCGACAAACCACUCUCCAAUAAAUAUCACAGAAACUGCAAUAAAAAAUAGGUAUGUAAUAUGAAAAUAUGACAAUAAUAAUUUACUCUCAAUGAUGAACAUCAUCAUUUUUUUUCGUUUUUGUUUUCAUAGUACACAAUUAUUCAAAAUUUUUG
Molecule: long non-coding RNA, 469 nt
Organism: Saccoglossus kowalevskii
Lineage: Eukaryota; Metazoa; Hemichordata; Enteropneusta; Harrimaniidae
Source: RefSeq, a predicted model, not a curated record